CCAGUUCGGNMGGUAGCAUGAUGUGUAGCAAUACACAUUGAUGACGAGUGGCGGACGGGUGAGAAACGCGUAGGAAUCUGCCUUUUAGAGGGGGACAACUAGAGGAAACUCUAGCUAAUACCGCAUAAUGUCGAAAGACCAAAAGCUGGCCCCGGACUUGUUCCGGGGCUGGCGCUAAGAGAGGAGCCUGCGUCUGAUUAGCUAGUUGGUGGGGUAAAGGCCUACCAAGGCGAUGAUCGGUAGCUGGUCUGAGAGGAUGAUCAGCCACACUGGGACUGAGACACGGCCCAGACUCCUACGGGAGGCAGCAGUGGGGAAUAUUGGACAAUGGGGGCAACCCUGAUCCAGCAAUACCGCGUGUGUGAAGAAGGCCUUCGGGUUGUAAAGCACUUUAGGUUGGGAAGAAGGUAUGUAGUUUAAGAGAU
This 425-nucleotide ribosomal RNA is filed under the name uncultured bacterium. Its description in RNAcentral is "bacterial SSU rRNA". It matches the Rfam family "Bacterial small subunit ribosomal RNA", at positions 58 to 467 of the family's 1533-position model. The record is from RNAcentral.